GGCAGCCUGGCCUAGUGGCUAGAGCGCUGGACUCUACGACUCUGGAGACCCGGGUUCGAAUCCCCGGGCGGCCA
Molecule: non-coding RNA, 74 nt
Organism: Phrynosoma platyrhinos (Desert horned lizard)
Lineage: Eukaryota; Metazoa; Chordata; Lepidosauria; Squamata; Phrynosomatidae
Source: the annotation of a GenBank genome assembly